Long non-coding RNA from Sapajus apella (tufted capuchin), 6997 nucleotides. RefSeq lists it as uncharacterized. NCBI's taxonomy places the organism in Eukaryota, Metazoa, Chordata, Mammalia, Primates, Cebidae. The record is from RefSeq and is a predicted model, not a curated record. The transcript has 3 exons.
AAGAUGAUGGAGAUUAGUAAUAAAGAUGAUUGAGAUUAAUACUAAGCCUCUUUGUUUUAUUUGAUUAGUUCCCUUGGGUGGUGGGAUUUACUGUGAGGCAGAUAUUUUGUUCUGUUCUUAUUUUUCAUCUUUGGGCUUAAUAUUCAAAUGUCACGUAUCUAUUGAAUGUUAGCUACAGAAAAAAAUUUUUAAAGGUGAUACUCAUUUAUUAAUUCAACAAAUAUUUCUUGAGCACCUACUCUGAUCCAGAUCCUAUACCAGGCAUUGUCACUGUCUCCUGGGAGCACACAGUCUUCAGGAUGCAAUAGACCUAUGGAUAAGUAAUUACAGCACUGUGCAAUCAGUGCUAUAAUAAAGGCAGAAUGGAGAAUUAUGAACCUUGUGCUAGACAGGAACCCUUCACAAAGAAGGUGAUGUAACCUAUUUAAGGAUUGAUAUGGUUUGGCUCUGUCCCCACCCAAAUUUCAUCUUGAGUUAUAGCUCCCACAAUUCUCAUGUGUGGUGGGAGGAACCUAGUGAGAGAUAAUUGAAUUAUGGAGGUGGGUCUCUUCCAUGCUGUUCUCAUGAGAGUGAAUAAAUCUCACAAGUUCUGGUGGCUUUAAAAUGGUAGUUUCCCUGUAUAAGCUCCCUCCUUGCCUGCUGACAUCCAUGAAAGAUUAACUUGCUCCUUCUCGCCUUCCAUCAUGAUUGUGAGACCUUCCUGUGGAACUGUUCAUCCAUUAAAUCUCUUUCUUUUGUAUAUUGCCCAGUUUCAGGUGUGUCUUUAUCAGCAAUGUGAGAAUGGACUAGUAUAAGGAUGAAUAGGCAUUUAGUAGGAAGAGAAGAUUACCCUAGGCUCAGGGAAGACCCUGCACAGAGCUAUGAACUCAGGCUGUUCCAGACAAGAGUGAGCCGAAGGGUCGGAGGAGGACCGGGGUGAGAGCAUGAAAGCACAACUGGGCUUACAGCACAACAUUUUAUAGGCUGCUUCUGAGCAUGGAGUUCAUUUUUUUAGGCAGUGGGAAACUACUGGGGGCUUAUGGGUGACAAAGGACUCAGAUUCAUUUUAGGAUGAUUCUGCUGGUGGUAUAAAACAUGUAUUUACAAGCAGGGAAAGUUUUAAGGAGGCUGUUGGAAAUGGUAUAGGCAAAAGGGGAUAAAGAUAUCAUCUAAAGCAGUGACUUUGGGGUUGAGGAGAUGGCAGAGGUUUUGAGUGAGGGUGAAGAGGCAGAAUGUGUUGACAGCUGAUUAGAGAGGACAGGAAGUGUAGAGGAGGGUCCUGAGGUUCCUAGUGUAGGCAGCUGAGUGGAACAUGAGGCCAGAUAUGGAGUCAGCCCGUUUUACCAGUAGAAGGAGCAGAUUUCAGGUGGCAGUGGGAUAGGGUGGGUGCAGAAUCACGGGUUUUUCUUUUGGACCUAUAACUAUUUUAGCUUGUGGACAUGCAGUUCUUGUUAUGUGGAAUGAGCUGAGUCAUAGCAAGUGCUGUGAGUUUUGAUUUUAGCUGGCCUCUAAUUAGGUAGAACAGAAAAAACUCUGUGUUAGUUGUUGGAUUAAAUAUUUUUCCACCUCAUGAUGUAGAGGUAGAGAUCUCCACCUUUAAAAAUAGCUGUUUACUAGUCAGACAUCAUGACUCCCACCUGUAAUCUCAGCUACUUGGAAGGUCAAGGCUGGGGUAUCACUUCAGGUCAGGACCCUGAGUCUAGCCUGGGUGAAAUAGUGAUGUCGUGAGACCCCCUUCUCAAAAACAGAAACAUUGAGUGAUAGCUCUGUACCUGAUACUGUGCUAAAGAGGUACCUGUUGUUAUAGUAUUUUACAAGAAAGAAAAAAGGUACUUAUAGAGGUUAACUAAUUCAUCAAAAAUGGUAACAAUGGGAGCAAGUCCAUUCUGUAUUAUAUGCAAGCAUUUUGUUAUAUUUGAUUUUUGAUAAAAGGUAACUUUUGUAAGAAAGUAGGUGAAAAAACUGAAAAGAUUCUAUUUUAACUUCAGCAGAGAAGUGGUUAAGUGCUUUGCUUCUUAUUUGGUGAUUUAGGUUGGUUAUUAUGACUUUUCUGCCCAUAUGGUGAAAAUAAAGCUUGAUUUACACAUGCUGUGAAUUUGUACUACCUAAUAACUCACCAACUUUUCAGUAAAAGAUAUACUUUGAGUAGCUUUCAGAAUUAUAAAAGAAGAGUUGGACCUCUUAAAAACCUAUACUCACAUAAAGAAUACUUUUUCAUUCUGUUUUUUUUUUUUGUUCAACACUUAUUUCUGUGGCUAGAAUAAUAGCAUUUUGUAGGCUUUUCUGGGUAAAAUAAAUUUUCCUGUUGGACUGAGGGCAAAAUGGAAACAGACCUAGCCUACCAAAGUGUAAAAGUCAAGCCUCCACAUGUUAAAGCUGAUUAGCCAGUAACUAACUGCUAAUUUAACUGCUUUUUUAAAAAAUACAAAUCAACGGUCCUGUUAUUGCAGAAAGAUAACACAAUACAGAGUCCUAAAAUAUGUCAUCCAGUAUGGUCAGUGCAAACUAAAAAAAUUCUGGCAGGAAAAUGAAACAUAAACAAGAGAAAAAGGAGUCAAUGAAAAUAGAUCCUAAGAAGACACAGCUGUGGGAAUGGCAAGUACUUUAAAAACAGCUACUAUUAAUUUGUCAGAGGAACUAAGGAUUUUGUCAUCAGGAGUGAACAAAUGGAAAAUCUCAACUGAAUAAUAAAAAGUCUACAAAAGGACCAAAUAGAAACUCUAGAAUUGAAAAGUAAGAUAUCUAAAAUAGAAAUUUUUGCAAUAUAGGCCUGACAGCAAAUUGAAGAAGAAAGAAGAAAAGGCCAGUGAAUGUGAAAAUGGAUCAAUAGAUACGACUCCAGUUGAAGAAUGUAGAAGAAAUAAAUAGAAUUAACAGAGCCCUAUAUGGGACACAUCAAGCAAUAUAAGAUACAUAUGAUUGCAGUCCCAGAAAGAGACAAGAAAGAGACUGGCAUAUGAAACAAUAUUUUAACAAAUAAUGGAUCAAAGAUUCCCAAAUUUGGUGAAAAAUAUUAACUUGAAGAUUCAAGAAGCUUUGCAUACCCUAAGUGGGAGACAUACAAAGAAAAGCACACUUGUUUUUUGGCCAAAUCAUAGUAAAAAUGCUGAAAGUCAAAGAAAUGAGGUAAUCAUGACAACAGUGAGAAAAACAAUUCAUUAUAUACAGAGCAAUGAUUAAUGUUCACUAACUUAUCAGAAAUAAUGGAAAGCAGAAGGCAGUGGCAAUGACUUGUUUUAAGUGGUGAAAGAACAGAACAAUCUGUCAACCCAGAACUCUAUAUCCAGAGGAGAUGCACCACAGACAUGAAAACAACAUGUUUUGCUUACUUAGUUUGAGAACAUCUGAGUUACGCAAAGCUAAGCAGAUUUCAGUGCUGUAUGACUUCUCAGAGAAGUUCUUAAGAAAAGGAUGGCACAUUCCUUGAUAUCCAAGUUUUUGUGGACCAUAAAUAAUUGAUUCACGGAAUGUCUCAGGGGAUUCAUUUUAUUUGUAAAACAUUUCUAGAAAUACUAAGCUUCAGGAAUGGAAUUUGAUAUUUAUUCUUCAUUAUUUUCAUGAUAUUGCCAGGAUGAUUUUGGAAAAUAAUUAGCAGUGUAUCUGUUUGUGUCUGUAAUAAUGAAAAUGUGGUGUUUUACCUACGUUUACUUUUCUUUAUUCUAAUAACACUUGCAGAGUUGAAUGGCUUUGGGCUGUUGCCAGGUGAAAUACUUUCCAGGAGGGCGAAGUGGUUCAGUGUUGCCUUGUUGGACUAUUUAGAUAUAGAUGAAAAUAGAACUCCCACCUAGAGUUUUCAAUGCAUAUUUUAUGAGUAUAAUAGUGCCAAGAAUAUAGGUUGAGUUGGAUUACAAUAAAAUCAUUAUAUUUUAUGUCUCUGUCUUGGAUUUAUGUGUACUCUUAAUGUGUAGUUUAAACAUGAAGUGUUACAAAUUAAUGCUACCAAAAGCAAGUUGUAAAAGUAGUCCAGAAUUACAUUGUAAAUGACUUAAGCCAUCUAAUUAAAAUAAAAUUUCAAUGUCUUGAAAUAAUUUAGUGAAGGAUUAGUGACUUAAAUUUCACUGCUGCUGAACAUGACCUUCUCUUUGAAUGUAUUAGAAAAUGGAGCUUAAAAGAUCAUCAUUCGAAAGGUUUAUUGUGAAAUUUUUUUGUCUUCAUCCCCUAUUCUUAAAUCCAGUCAUAUCUCCCUAGAUGUCUAGCAUAGUUCCUUUCCACAGCAGAGCUUGAAAUCUCUACAUAGCCAACAUUGAGGCUCCCAGGCUCCCACCACAUUAGUGUUGAUUGACACAGGGAGUAGUGCUUUGUCUUCUUGUCUGUGACUGUAAAGGGCAAAGUGGACAUUCCUCUCUUGGUGUUUUUCCCUCACUCAUUUCCUCCAGGAAUUUGUGAGUCUCUGUCUCUUUUCCCUCUCAACCAAAGACUUCCAACCAACGACUAUAAACUUCUUCUACAGCAGUGGUUCUCUAAUUGGUCCUCAGAUCUUCAGCAUCUGUCACUUGGAAACUUGUUAUAAAUUCAAUUUCUUAGCCCCUCCCACCAGCUUACUAAAUCUGAAACUCUGGGAGUGCAGCCCAGCAAUCUGUGCUUUAACAAGCUUUCCCAGAGAUUCCGAGGCUCUGUGAAGUUUGAGAACUUGUUCUCUAUAGUAAGAAAAAACUUUUGAAUUAUCUUUUUCAUCUUUUUGUUUGACAACAAAGGCAAAGCAGAAUUUAAGAGUUCUUGGUGGUAAUGGUAGUGUGGUGUUGAGUAAACCACUUUUCAAAUUAAAUGAUGCAUUUUAAAUCAUAACAAUAAUUAGUAGUGGUAUCUUCACAAUAUUCUUGAGGUCAUUACCAAUGCUAUUGCUGUGUUACUGUAAGGAAACAGAUUGAGGGAAGAAGUUGGCCAAUGAUGCUGCUGGUUUGACCAGUACUAGCCCCCAGGCUGCAGCUCACUUGGUAAUGCUCUCUGAGAUAUCAUGUAAUGUCUGUCUCCUCUUAUCGCUGCUCAUAUCUUCCCUGUGAGGCCAGAGACUUGUUUCUUUUUAAAAAUGCAAGAGGUGGAGUGAAAGUUCAUGUCUUUAUAGAUGAACUCCUGUCUUUUUUACCCAUUUGUAGACUAUCCCCACUCCCAAACUAAUAGCCAAACUACCUUGAUCAAGGAGAGGGAAUGCUGUACGUUAUUCAUGGUGCAAACAAAUGUUUAUGGCCUCUCUUCUUAUAAGUACUGUGUGCUAAUCGGUUGUGCCACUGGAGCUGCUAUGGUCUCUUUCGUUUCAAAAGUUUAUCUCUUUCUGGAAGUAAUGAAUUCACUGGCCAAUUUAUCUUUGAGCUCUGGCUUGCAGUUUUUGAAAGUUUCCAAGCUCAACUGAGCAAUGAGUGGUUUGGCACUUUAAACCGCUAAUAUAGUAUAAAGUUGGAUGAUUUUGAAAACAAUUCAUGCUUGAAUAAAGUCUUUAUCCUACUGAGUUAUGGUCCCCCACCCCACCCUUUUAAAAAACUUUACUGAGUGAUUAGAGGCAGCCUUUCAAAUUCCACUCAUGAUAAUUGAGGGAUUUAUCUGACCUCCAAGAUGUAUUUAUUUUCUUGACCAUCAAGGAAAUAACGUUUUAAAGAAUUAAGACAAUCCAUAUUAAAUGGAGAGAAAGGAACUACCUAAAAUGAAAAUGUGAUCAUAUUUUAACAUAAAAGUGAAAACUUAUAGUAAUCUUCAGUUACUAAUUAGUUUGAUGCUAGCUCCACUUUUUCUACCAUGUAGAUUUCAUUUAGGAGAGGAGAGUAAAAGAACAUUAAUUAAAAUUGGAAUGAUUAAUUUCAUUGUGUGUCAGUAUAAAUUAAUUUCAGUGUCAGUAUAAAUUAACUCCAGUGUUAGCAAUUCCAUAGGCUUCCUUUCCAUGGUUUACUACAGUAAUUGAAAAUUUAAUCACUCAUUCUGAUAUCAGAAUUCAAAAAAGCAUUUAUACGUGCUUGUGUGUAUGCGAUGGGUAAAGGACAUGAAAAUGUAUAGAUAUUUAAGAAAUGUGACUUGUACUCCAAUUUUUUAUUUAUGUUAGGAUAGCCUUUGAUUUUAAGCAAAAUAUCUAUUUAGAAUGUUUCUCCUUCACCCCCUUCUCUAACUAGGUCCCUUUCCUUCUUUCUCUCGUUGCUUACGAUUAGAAACAAAUGAAUAGCUUUGUACAGGCCAGAGAUUAAAAGACUUUUUUUUUUCUAUGAUACAGAGUGAUUUUUGUGCAAAUAAUUGCUAUCUCUUUCAUCAAAACAGUGUUCUGUCUAGAGAAUAAUGUUUGUUAGGUCAGUUUGUUGUGGCGGUAUUUAUAGGGGAUAUGUUUGAAUGAAUGAAAAUGGUAAGUGGGUAUGUUCACAUAACAUUUGUUUGCUUCUCUCGUCCACCAAGGGAAUUCAUAACUAUAGUGCUCUUUUUAUGUGUUGACUGCCUCUUUCUGCAACAUUGACAGGUGUUGGUGACUUCAUAUUUUUUCCUAAGUUCUUGAACAUAUUCACAGAAAGAAUAAAAAGUUUAGUUUGGGUUUCUUUUGUUAUUCUCUGGAUGCAAAAACAUUCCCUGGUUCCUAAAAUUGAUAAUUUUCUUAAAUUACUCAUGACCUACCAUGUAGUUCUGCUGUUUGUUUUAAUUUCUUAAUAUGGGGUAAUAUUUUACAAGAUUUUCAAAAUACUUAGAUCCUCAUCUAUAUUAGAAGUCAGCGUGUGUGUGUGUGUAUGUGUGUGUGUGUGUGUGUGUGUGUGUGUGUGUAUGUGUGUAAAGGAGAAGGGAGUAGGCUAGGCCUUGUGGGACACACUACCUGAUGUUGUAGUAUGAAACAGCUAUAAAUAAUACAUGAGCAAGUGGGUGUGGCUGCAUUUACAUAAACCUUUAAUAUAUAAGAGGUGUUGUGCUGGUUUGGAACUGGGUGUAGUUUAUGUAUGCUAUGAUAAUUACUGUGGCUUUAUCUGUCUUCUGUAAUCCACCUUCUUCUUUCUACCUUGAGAUAAUCAAAUGCUUUCUUCCUCUUCCUCCUCCCCCUCCUCUUCCUCUUCUUCUGCUU